AAAGAAGCGCAGAAAAGGAAUAGUAGAGAUGGGAGCGCACUUCAGAGAGGCUGCAAUGGUGGAAGCAGCUGUGCAGAACAUUUUGAACCGACCCUUGGAGCUUUGCCCCAAUAAGGCAGCGUAGGUCCGGCGUUAACGGAUGCAGAGCGAACAUGCAGAGUGCAUGUUAAUUGGGGUGGUACCGCCGGAUAUCCGGUCCCUUUG
This 204-nucleotide non-coding RNA is filed under the name Bacillota bacterium. Its description in RNAcentral is "Firmicutes bacterium T-box sequence". It matches the Rfam family "T-box leader". Rfam says of the family: Uncharged tRNA acts as the effector for transcription antitermination of genes in the T-box leader family. T-boxes are found upstream of many aminoacyl-tRNA synthetase genes and some amino acid biosynthetic genes usually in Gram-positive bacteria. The anticodon of a specific tRNA base pairs to a specifier sequence within the T-box motif, and the NCCA acceptor tail of the tRNA base pairs to a conserved bulge in the T-box antiterminator hairpin. Lineage: Bacteria; Bacillati; Bacillota. The record is from RNAcentral.